AUUGAACGCUGGCGGCAUGCCUUACACAUGCAAGUCGAACGGCAGCACGGGUGCUUGCACCUGGUGGCGAGUGGCGAACGGGUGAGUAAUACAUCGGAACGUACCUUAUCGUGGGGGAUAACGCAGCGAAAGCUGUGCUAAUACCGCAUACGCCCUGAGGGGGAAAGCGGGGGAUCGCAAGACCUCGCGCGAUUAGAGCGGCCGAUGCCUGAUUAGCUUGUUGGUGGGGUAAAAGCCCACCAAGGCGACGAUCAGUAGCUGGUCUGAGAGGACGAUCGGCCACACGGGGACUGAGACACGGCCCAGACUCCGACGGGAGGCAGCAGUGGGGAAUUUUGGACAAUGGGGGCAACCCUGCUCCAGCAAUGCCGCGUGAGUGAAGAAGGCCUUCGGGUUGUAAAGCUCUUUUGUCAGGGAAGAAACACCGGCUCUAACACAGUCCGGGAAUGACGGUACCUGAAGAAUAAGCACCGGCUAACUACGUGCCAGCCGCCGCCGUAA
This 501-nucleotide ribosomal RNA is filed under the name uncultured bacterium. RNAcentral describes it as "partial 16S ribosomal RNA". It matches the Rfam family "Bacterial small subunit ribosomal RNA", at positions 29 to 523 of the family's 1533-position model. The record is from RNAcentral.